RNAcentral lists this ribosomal RNA (484 nucleotides) under uncultured bacterium. RNAcentral describes it as "partial 16S ribosomal RNA". It matches the Rfam family "Bacterial small subunit ribosomal RNA", at positions 30 to 507 of the family's 1533-position model. The record is from RNAcentral.
AUUGAACGCUGGCGGCAGGCCUAACACAUGCAAGUCGAGCGGAUGAAGGGAGCUUGCUCCUGGAUUCAGCGGCGGACGGGUGAGUAAUGCCUAGGAAUCUGCCUGGUAGUGGGGGAUAACGUCCGGAAACGGGCGCUAAUACCGCAUACGUCCUGAGGGAGAAAGUGGGGGAUCUUCGGACCUCACGCUAUCAGAUGAGCCUAGGUCGGAUUAGCUAGUUGGUGGGGUAAAGGCCUACCAAGGCGACGAUCCGUAACUGGUCUGAGAGGAUGAUCAGUCACACUGGAACUGAGACACGGUCCAGACUCCUACGGGAGGCAGCAGUGGGGAAUAUUGGACAAUGGGCGAAAGCCUGAUCCAGCCAUGCCGCGUGUGUGAAGAAGGUCUUCGGAUUGUAAAGCACUUUAAGUUGGGAGGUAGAGCAGUAAGUUAAUACCUUGCUGUUUUGACGUUACCAACAGAAUAAGCACCGGCUAACUUCGUG